RNAcentral lists this ribosomal RNA (490 nucleotides) under uncultured bacterium. Its description in RNAcentral is "partial 16S ribosomal RNA". It matches the Rfam family "Bacterial small subunit ribosomal RNA", at positions 30 to 507 of the family's 1533-position model. The record is from RNAcentral.
AUUGAACGCUGGCGGCAGGCCUAACACAUGCAAGUCGAACGGUAACAGGAAGCAGCUUGCUGCUUUGCUGACGAGUGGCGGACGGGUGAGUAAUGUCUGGGAAACUGCCUGAUGGAGGGGGAUAACUACUGGAAACGGUAGCUAAUACCGCAUAACGUCGCAAGACCAAAGAGGGGGACCUUCGGGCCGCUUGCCAUCGGAUGUGCCCAGAUGGGAUUAGCUAGUAGGUGGGGUAACGGCUCACCUAGGCGACGAUCCCUAGCUGGUCUGAGAGGAUGACCAGCCACACUGGAACUGAGACACGGUCCAGACUCCUACGGGAGGCAGCAGUGGGGAAUAUUGCACAAUGGGCGCAAGCCUGAUGCAGCCAUGCCGCGUGUAUGAAGAAGGCCUUCGGGUUGUAAAGUACUUUCAGCGGGGAGGAAGGGAGUAAAGUUAAUACCUUUGCUCAUUGACGUUACCCGCAGAAGAAGCACCGGCUAACUCCGUG